ACGUAGGGUGCAAGCGUUGUCCGGAUUUAUUGGGCGUAAAGAGCUCGUAGGCGGUCUGUUACGUCGGUUGUGAAAAUCCGGGGCUUAACCCCGGACCUGCAUCCGAUACGGGCAGACUUGAGUGUGGUAGGGGAGACUGGAAUUCCUGGUGUAGCGGUGAAAUGCGCAGAUAUCAGGAGGAACACCGAUGGCGAAGGCAGGUCUCUGGGCCACAACUGACGCUGAGGAGCGAAAGCGUGGGGAGCAAACAGGAUUAGAUACCCUGGUAGUCCACGCCGUAAACGGUGGGCGCUAGGUGUGGGGAACAUUCCACGUUCUCCGUGCCGCAGCUAACGCAUUAAGCGCCCCGCCUGGGGAGUACGGCCGCAAGGCUA
Molecule: ribosomal RNA, 374 nt
Filed under: uncultured bacterium
Lineage: Bacteria
Description: bacterial SSU rRNA
Rfam family: Bacterial small subunit ribosomal RNA
Source: RNAcentral